UUUAAAUCGUGUUUGCUGCAGUUAAUUAUAUUUCACAGCUAAUGGCGAAAUGUCAAAAUAAUUUUAAAACGCCCGCCACAGUUCGGAGCAAAAGUUGUCCAGCCGAUGGGAUGAUAGGAAUGGUAGUUCCAUUGUGGAGUCCAAUGCAUAAUUGACAGGCGGUUGCCUACUGUCAGCGCCGAUUAAGGUGCAAAGCCGAUUAAUUAUAAAUUAAAUUUAUGAUAAAUAAAUGCUGUAAGUCAUCCCACUGCACCAACACGACUGGAGGCAAGAGUCGCGGCUAUCAUUCGAAGGGAAUGUGAAUGGAAAAGGUGUAAUACGCACAUAUAGCUGAGAAUGGAAAUCUGAUUUGAGUCUGACAUGCUUUAAAGAUAUACGCAAUCAGUAAAACAAACUCCAAUAAAUUUCUGUAAACAAAGGUCCCAAAAGGAGCUGCAUCUCGUGUGGCAUUCACGCCUAAAUCGACGGACAUUUGCCAUUUUCUGUGAGCGCACUUUUAAUCAACAAACUGAUGAGGCAACAUCGGCCUUUGUAACGGUAUCGGCAGACGUACAUGCCUACCAUGGACACGCCCACUGGUGGCAACACAAUGGAGUAGGGUACCCAGAAUAUGCAAUUUCGUCAGAUCGGCAGUUUUGUGAGCAAUCAAUUUCGAUGCAAAUUCACUUGUACUUGACGACUCCAUGAAUGAGGCGAGACUCUGCGGCCGACUCCACGUGGCGUAUGAGUGAUGUUGAAUAAGCAGGAACGCAUCACCAGGAUGGAGACACAAGAAGACAACACGCGUCAUCAUCACUCAAUUUAUUGAGAAUGAUCCCACUCUCCAGUAAAGAAGAUGCAACUAUUCCAAAUAAAUACCAGAUCAUACUACAACAGAACAGAAAUCGCAAUGAUACUCCAAAACAAUCACUUUCCUGUUCGGGUUACCUACCAGACGGCUGUAAUUUUGUAAGCCACCAUCAAUUAAAUAUUUUAUAACCCGAUUAUUGAACAACAAAAUACUGUACAAGCAAACAAAGGAAAAUUAAUUUCACUCUUAUUUAUUUUCAAUUGUUUGUUGCUUUGCGGACAAAAUAUGGCCAAGACCAGGGUCCAUGUGCGUGAAUAGCAUUAAACUUAUGCGCAUUAAUUUUAUGCCUCGUCCCGCCGGGAUGGACCAUACGGGAAUGGUCUGGACUCUACUGGCAUAUAAAAUGCGCUUUAACUUAAUUUUUAUUGUUGUCGAGAUUUUCCCACUCUCUCUCAUCAUCAUCGCCACCAUCAUCCGAGCCGCGGCAUGUGUGGAUUGCAUUUUUAUUUUAAUUAAAAAGUCUCCGUCACAAAGCGAAUCGGUCGAGUCCAUUCCCCAUCAAUUCAAGUGGCCAUCGUCCGAUGCCAAAUGUAUUUAUGGCUUCAUUUUGUUUACUUGUUUGAGACUCCUGGCCGGAGUCCUCUGCCAAAGUUUCCCGCCUACCCACAUGUUUGUGGAUUAAAGAGGCUUUAGUUAUAAAUGCGAUAAAAAAAUAUAUUUUUGCCUCUUGUCGAUUAUCGUUCAGGCUAUCGUAGUAUCACUUGAUUGAAUCGAAUUGAUUAAAUUCUUAAUUAAAUGCACCCGGUCUCCGGUGGAUGGAGUCGCUGCACUUUCCCUUUCCUCGCACUCAUUAAGCAGAUCUCUGUUACAACUUCUCCAUACCCUAUGGCAGAGGAAGAUACUUAAGUUAUUAAAAUGGAUAAAAGACCAUUCCAGAGGAAUAUCUCGUACAAUAUAGAUUAUAAAUAAUUAAAACUAAAAUUAUGAUAUAUAAUUGACAUGAUCGAUUUCGCUUCUUAAAGUCAAAAAUUAGAUGGGUGAAAGUAAACAAAAAAUAUGUCACUAUGAUAUAAAAACCACUGAAGGGAAAACAUAUCCCCUAUUGUAUUUAUAUUAAAAACUAUUCCUAUUAAGGACAAUAUUUUUUCAGGUCUCCAAGCUGAGUCCUUUUAUAUAUAUUCACUUGCUUAUGGAAUCCAAAAUACCUGAAGGUUAUACGUCUUUGUAGGACAAAACAAUAUGUUCAAAAUUAUUGGAGUGAAUUUAGUUUAAACUGAUUUAUUUUUUGAUGUUAUAUUUACAAAGCUCUCAAUGUCCAAAUCUACUCAAUUUAAGUUUUCUCUUUCAAUAAUGACUCAGUUUCUCUUAGCACUAAUGAAGAGCACGAAUUUCAGUUCAGACUCAAGAUAUUCUCUUGAGCUAAAAUAAGGUACUCGAAACAGACACUCCGAGCAAAACUCAUUUGGAUGCUUUGCCACUCGGCAGCCUUUUCCAUACCAUACAUUUCAGCGCCAGCUUGCAAAUAUUGCAACACCGCCAUGUGGCAUGUAUUGAGAUAUUAUUGCACCCCUAUACACAAGCACACACACACACAGAAAAUCACACACUCUCGCCCAGAAGCACGCAUGAAUGCAGGUGACUUUAUUAUUUUUCCUAAUAAUGAUCUAUGGCCAUGUGCGCCGGUAGCACAAAAAGGCGAAAAUUUGAAUUUCUGUGCUAUAAAAGGAAGUUAAAUAAGGAGAUCGAAGAAAAUGCGUGCUUUCUGGGAUAAAUUGGGAAAACAAACCACAACAAAGCCGCAAAUUAACACAAUUGAAUCUUUAUCAUCCUAGUGACAGAAUGAAUGGGAAAGACAAUUUCAAUUAAGUACUAUUAAUUUUUGCUACGAUUUAUUAAUUAUAAUCCACAAUUUGCGUAUGUUUUUACCUAAACAGCACGAAAAUAAAAUCGAGGAAAUAACAACCACUGGAACCUAC
Long non-coding RNA from Drosophila pseudoobscura, 2766 nucleotides. RefSeq lists it as uncharacterized. Lineage: Eukaryota; Metazoa; Arthropoda; Insecta; Diptera; Drosophilidae. The transcript has 3 exons. The record is from RefSeq and is a predicted model, not a curated record.